AGGCCUCUGGGCUGUAAACCUCUUUUCUCAAGGAAGAAGAUCUGACGGUACUUGAGGAAUAAGCCACGGCUAAUUCCGUGCCAGCAGCCGCGGUAAUACGGGAGUGGCAAGCGUUAUCCGGAAUUAUUGGGCGUAAAGCGUCCGCAGGCGGCCUUGUAAGUCUGUUGUUAAAGCGUGGAGCUUAACUCCAUUUCAGCAAUGGAAACUAUAAGGCUUGAGUGUGGUAGGGGCAGAGGGAAUUCCCGGUGUAGCGGUGAAAUGCGUAGAUAUCUGGAAGAACACCAGUGGCGAAGGCGCUCUGCUGGGCCAUAACUGACGCUCAUGGACGAAAGCCAGGGGAGCGAAAGGGAUUAGAUACCCCUGUAGUCCUGGCCGUAAACGAUGAACACUAGGUGUCGGGGGAAUCGACCCCCUCGGUGUCGUAGCCAACGCGUUAAGUGUUCCGCCUGGGGAGUACGCACGCAAGUGUGAAACUCAAAGGAAUUGACGGGGGCCCGCACAAGCGGUGGAGUAUGUGGUUUAAUUCGAUGCAACGCGAAGAACCUUACCAGGGUUUGACAUCCUGCGAACCCCUGAGAAAUCGGUGGGUGCCUUCGGGAACGCAGUGACAGGUGGUGCAUGGCUGUCGUCAGCUCGUGUCGUGAGAUGUUGGGUUAAGUCCCGCAACGAGCGCAACCCACGUCUUUAGUUGCCAGCAUUCAGUUGGGCACUCUAGAGAGACCGCCGGUGAUAAACCGGAGGAAGGUGUGGAUGACGUCAAGUCAUCAUGCCCCUUACAUCCUGGGCUACACACGUACUACAAUGCUACGGACAAAGGGCAGCAA
Molecule: ribosomal RNA, 824 nt
Filed under: uncultured cyanobacterium
Lineage: Bacteria; Bacillati; Cyanobacteriota
Description: bacterial SSU rRNA
Rfam family: Bacterial small subunit ribosomal RNA
Source: RNAcentral